UACAGAGGUGGCAAGCGUUGUUCGGAAUUACUGGGCGUAAAGGGCGCGUAGGCGGUCUUGCAAGUCCCGUGUGAAAUCCCUCGGCUCAACUGAGGAACUGCACGGGAAACUGUUUGGCUUGAGUUCGGGAGAGGGAAGCGGAAUUCCGGGUGUAGCGGUGAAAUGCGUAGAUAUCCGGAGGAACACCGGUGGCGAAGGCGGCUUCCUGGACCGGCACUGACGCUGAGGCGCGAAAGCUAGGGGAGCAAACGGG
Molecule: ribosomal RNA, 253 nt
Filed under: uncultured bacterium
Lineage: Bacteria
Description: partial 16S ribosomal RNA
Rfam family: Bacterial small subunit ribosomal RNA
Source: RNAcentral